CAGUCGCCGCGGUAACACGGAGGGUGCAAGCGUUAAUCGGAAUUACUGGGCGUAAAGCGUGCGUAGGCGGUUCGUUAAGUCUGUUGUGAAAGCCCCGGGCUCAACCUGGGAAUGGCAAUGGAUACUGGCGAGCUAGAGUGUGUCAGAGGAUGGUGGAAUUCCCGGUGUAGCGGUGAAAUGCGUAGAGAUCGGGAGGAACAUCAGUGGCGAAGGCGGCCAUCUGGGACAACACUGACGCUGAGGCACGAAAGCGUGGGGAGCAAACAGGAUUAGAUACCCGGGUAGUCCCUGUCUCUUAUAC
This 301-nucleotide ribosomal RNA is filed under the name uncultured bacterium. RNAcentral's name for it is "partial 16S ribosomal RNA". It matches the Rfam family "Bacterial small subunit ribosomal RNA", at positions 509 to 807 of the family's 1533-position model. The record is from RNAcentral.